Molecule: transfer RNA, 68 nt
Filed under: Marmota monax (woodchuck)
Lineage: Eukaryota; Metazoa; Chordata; Mammalia; Rodentia; Sciuridae
Description: tRNA.Ala
Rfam family: tRNA (bases 5-65)
About the family: Transfer RNA (tRNA) molecules are approximately 80 nucleotides in length.
Source: RNAcentral
GGAUUGUGGUUCAGUGGUAGACUGCCUGCCUAGCAUGCAUGAGGCACUGGGUUUGAUCCCCAGCAUCA